Molecule: ribosomal RNA, 2637 nt
Filed under: Triticum aestivum (bread wheat)
Lineage: Eukaryota; Viridiplantae; Streptophyta; Magnoliopsida; Poales; Poaceae
Description: partial small subunit ribosomal RNA
Source: RNAcentral
AUGCCACUGCCAUGCGAUGAGCGUCUCCUUCUGGCUGCUCGUGCUCAUGCUUUGCCCAUGUGCGUGGGGCAUCAAACUAAUCAACCAGCAACAUCUCCUCCAUAUGAACUGGUGGCUCCGGCGAGGUCGAACGGUGCGGGCGUACGAGGUCGAACUGCGCAGAGUGGAGGACCGGGGCAUGGCGUAGGUGACGGCCGACCUUGGCGAGGUAGGAGGUGGAACGCUGGGAGGGGAGGAGCUCGGCCGAGACCAGGGGGAGGGCCGGUCUUGAUCCAAGAAAAGGUCGUGGUCCAGCGACGGAAGCGCAGGGUUGCAGCCUUGCAGGCAACGACGGCCGUUAGGUGGUUACUGGCGGCGGCGCACCUGGUGGCGGGGAGGUGGUUGGGGCGGAGGGCGGCUGCCGUGGGGGAGGAGGCGCGCCGGCGUUGGAGGAGGAGGGGCGCCGACCGCGGGGGAGGUGGCGCGCGGCGGCGGGGAUGGAGGCACGCCGGCCGUGGCGGAGGUGGCGCGCGGCGGCGGGGAUGGAGGCGCGCCGGCCGUAGUGGAGGUGGCACGCCAGCCGUAGAGGAAGAGGCGCGCGGCGGCGUGGAUGGGGCCGGCGCCGGCGUGGGUGCGUUGGGAGGGGCGCGUGGGAGAGGGAGGCGGGUGGAUCCAGAGACGUGGGGGGAGGUGGAGGCUUGUUCUACUUUUCACCCAUGCCCCUCUUUCUCACAGGAAGCGGAGGAUGAUAACUCGCACCCUGCCGCCACCUCCGAACCAGCCACAACGUCAGCAGGCGCGUGCACGCCGGAGAUUCAGGCCGGCCGGAGGUCAUACAUCACGAGCAGAUCAGAUCGCCUCCGAUCUGACGAGGGGAGCCCGGGGCCUCCCCGCGCCAUGACCAGUGCCCACCGGGACCUUGCUGCCCGCGCAGCCGAGGGGAUCCGGCCUACCUCACCGACGAGCACUCCCCGCCGCCGGAGGAGCGCCGUCCGCACCAGCGAGGCCGCCGCCUCAGAUCCGCCGCGAAGAACGCCGCGCCGCCACCGGCCCGCGCGCUCCAGUGACGUGCCGCCCCGGCCAGCAGGCCGCGCCGCCCCGCACACUAGGAACCUGGGCCUGGAGAUGACCCAUAUAAGGAUAUAUGUGAGAGGUAUACGUACAGGUCUACGAACUCAUCUCCAAAUUAGACAAUAUGUUGGAGAUGAGGGGGUUUGCCUAAUUGGAACCAGAGAGAUGGUCACCGUAAAACAGGGUGCUAAAGACCUACUGAACUAUUUGUUAUUUCUUUCUAGAAAGGCUACAAUUGAACUUGUUCUCAGAGUAACAAGACUUCUCUUAUCAGCAAUCUUAACUGCAACUCCAAAGACUCUUGGGAAUAAUUAUCAAAUAUGGGGAAAGAAAGUAAAAAGAAGAAAAGGAAAGGAAAAGAAAAGAAGACAAAUAAAGGAGAGGACUACUUGUGGCCAAUUUCAUGGCCUCUCAUGGCCAUGCCCGCGCCACUUCACUCUUCCCCAUCCUGAAGUGCGGCUGCUGCUUUUGGGGAUCCGCUCGGAGAGGACUACUUCUGGCCAAUUUCUUUCUCCACCAGGUGAGGACUAUUCCCCUGGCCGCUUCAGAUCCCCACCAGGUUUACAACACGAGAUUCCUGACCAGAAGGGGAACAAGGCGGAGUGGCAUGGUGACCAGUUCCAGAUGUGCAUCUGUUCUCGUGAAACUAAGGACAAUAAGUGCAUGGAAGUGCUCAUGAUAGAGUGCCAGUUGAGAAGAAUCUCAGUGAGGAACCUAGGAUACACACAGGAAGAAAUUUGUGAUAAUCCAGGUAGAACACCACUUCUAGGGGAUGCUCUUGUUGAUGCCAGGACAGUCUGUUUUGCAUUUAGGAAUGUUGGGGAGGAAUACUACAUCAAGAAGAACGAUCGGGUAGAGUUUAUCGCAAUACUUGGACUAUUUGGACUGCUUGUCAGUACAAUUCGGAUCAACUCCCCCGAACGCCCAAGCCUCCCAAGACGGUGCCUCCAUGGAGGUUACGACGCAAAGGGCACCGCCGCCGUCCAAUCCAAGACGGAUUUUGGACUUUCGUCCGGGAACGGGACGGAGGUGGAUAGGAGGGACCUCGACUUCGCCAUCAAGAUGGGUAACGACCAGCCAAGACCCGAAAACUCCAGAGAGGGGAGCACCAUAAGGCUCAACACCUCCGGCGUAGAUCCAUCUAGGCGCCGGAUCAAAGAAGACCCGACCUGGUCAGCGACGAAAGCCACCAUCCUGCGCCGGCCGGCGGCGAUCAGGCACCAGAUCCAGAAGGAUCGAACCCGAGACCGACGGCGCACGCGACCACCAGAUCCAGCGGCCGCACCACGCCGCGAGCACGAACCCCAACCGCCGGCGCGCUGCGCACGUCGCGGCCAGGAUCCAUCUGCAGCGCCGCCGCACCCCGCAAAAGUACGGCGCCUCCUCUCGAACGGCCGUCCCGCGCCAGCCCAUUCGGGGGAAGGAGAAGGGAGCCCCGCCGCCGCCCCUGCCGGCCUGGCUUCGCCCGGCGGCGCUGCUGGCGGCGGCGAGGAUGGAGGAGAUGCGGGGGAGUCCGGGCGCCGGCGGCUAGGGUUUCCCCCUGGUCGCCCGCGGGGGCGACCCGAGGGGUACCAAUCCGCAAAAUGA